GUGGGGAAUAUUGGACAAUGGGCGAAAGCCUGAUCCAGCCAUGCCGCGUGUGUGAAGAAGGUCUUCGGAUUGUAAAGCACUUUAAGUUGGGAGGAAGGGCAGUAAGUUAAUACCUUGCUGUUUUGACGUUACCGACAGAAUAAGCACCGGCUAACUUCGUGCCAGCAGCCGCGGUAAUACGAAGGGUGCAAGCGUUAAUCGGAAUUACUGGGCGUAAAGCGCGCGUAGGUGGUUUUGUAAGUUGGAGGUGAAAUCCCCGGGCUCAACCAGGGAACUGCCUCCAAAACUGCAUGACUAGAGUACGGUAGAGGGUAGUGGAAUUUCCUGUGUAGCGGUGAAAUGCGUAGAUAUAGGAAGGAACACCAGUGGCGAAGGCGACUACCUGGACUGAUACUGACACUGAGGUGCGAAAGCGUGGGGAGCAAACAGGAUUAGAAACCCCUGUAGUCC
Molecule: ribosomal RNA, 450 nt
Filed under: uncultured bacterium
Lineage: Bacteria
Description: partial 16S ribosomal RNA
Rfam family: Bacterial small subunit ribosomal RNA
Source: RNAcentral